Molecule: ribosomal RNA, 443 nt
Filed under: uncultured bacterium
Lineage: Bacteria
Description: partial 16S ribosomal RNA
Rfam family: Bacterial small subunit ribosomal RNA
Source: RNAcentral
GCUACGGGGUGCAGCAGUGGGGAAUAUUGGGCAAUGGAGGCAACUCUGACCCAGCAACGCCGCGUGAAGGAAGAAGGCCUUAGGGGUGUAAACUUAUGUUGGAAAGGAAGAAAAGAAUGACGGUAGUUUACAAGAAAGCUCCGGCUAACUAUGUGCCAGCAGCCGCGGUAAGACAUCGGGGGCAAGAGUUGUUCGGAAUUACGGGGAGUAAAGGGAGCGUAGGCGGGAGAUGAAGUUAAGAGUGAAAGCCGUGGGCUCAACCCAAGAAAUGCUCUUCAUACUGGGUUUCUAGAGUGGGGGGGAGGUAAGUGGAAUUCCUAGUGUAGCGGUCGAAUGCGUAGAGAUUAGGAGGAUCCUCAGCGGCGAAGGCGGCUUACUGGACCGUAACUGACGCUGAGGCUCGAAAGCGUGGGGAGCAAACAGGAUUAGAUACCCCUGUAGUC